UGGGGAAUAUUGGACAAUGGGCGCAAGCCUGAUCCAGCCAUGCCGCGUGAGUGAUGAAGGCCUUAGGGUUGUAAAGCUCUUUUAGCAGGGACGAUAAUGACGGUACCUGCAGAAAAAGCCCCGGCCAACUUCGUGCCAGCAGCCGCGGUAAUACGAAGGGGGCUAGCGUUGCUCGGAAUCACUGGGCGUAAAGCGCACGUAGGUGGGUCGUUAAGUCGGGGGUGAAAUCCCAGAGCUCAACUCUGGAACU
This 250-nucleotide ribosomal RNA is filed under the name uncultured bacterium. RNAcentral describes it as "partial 16S ribosomal RNA". It matches the Rfam family "Bacterial small subunit ribosomal RNA", at positions 355 to 622 of the family's 1533-position model. The record is from RNAcentral.